Molecule: ribosomal RNA, 104 nt
Filed under: uncultured bacterium
Lineage: Bacteria
Description: partial 16S ribosomal RNA
Rfam family: Bacterial small subunit ribosomal RNA
Source: RNAcentral
CCUUGUACACACCGCCCGUCAAGUCAUGAAAGUCGGUAACACCCGAAGCCAGUGGCCCAACCGCAAGGAGGGAGCUGUCGAAGGUGGGAUCGGUGAUUAGGGCU